AGAAAGCCCCCUUCGGGGGGUAAGUACAGUGGCGAACGGGUGAGUAACACGUGGGUUACCUGCCCUCAAGUGGGGAAUAACUCUGGGAAACUGGAGCUAAUACCGCAUACGAUCCUUCGGGAUGAAAGUCUUCGGACGCUUGAGGAGGGGCCCGCGGUCGAUUAGCUUGUUGGCGGGGUAAUGGCCCACCAAGGCAAAGAUCGAUAGCCGGCCUGAGAGGGCGCACGGCCACACUGGCACUGAGACACGGGCCAGACUCCUACGGGAGGCAGCAGUGAGGAAUCUUGGACAAUGGGGGAAACCCUGAUCCAGCGACGCCGCGUGAGUGAUGAAGCCUUUCGGGGUGUAAAGCUCUUUCAGCGGGGACAAUAAUGAUGGUACCCGCAUAAGCAGCUGCGGCUAACUACGUGCCAGCAGCCGCGGUAAUACGUAGGCAGCAAGCGUUGUUCGGAAUUACUGGGCGUAAAGCGAGUGUAGGCGGUCUGCCAAGUCUGUUGUGAAAUCUCCUGGUUCAACUGGGAGGGUGCGGCGGAAACUGGCAGGCUAGAGUGCGAGAGGGGAGAGUGGAAUUCCUGGUGUAGCGGUGAAAUGCGUAGAUAUCAGGAGGAACACCGGUGGUGAAGACGGCUCUCU
RNAcentral lists this ribosomal RNA (633 nucleotides) under uncultured bacterium. Its description in RNAcentral is "bacterial SSU rRNA". It matches the Rfam family "Bacterial small subunit ribosomal RNA", at positions 68 to 730 of the family's 1533-position model. The record is from RNAcentral.